CCUACGGGGGGCUGCAGUGGGGAAUAUUGCGCAAUGGGCGAAAGCCUGACGCAGCGACGCCGCGUGAGGGAUGAAGGUCUUCGGAUCGUAAACCUCUGUCAGCAGGGAAGAACGGUCACUGUGCUAAUCAGCAGUGAAUUGACGGUACCUGCAAAGGAAGCACCGGCUAACUCCGUGCCAGCAGCCGCGGUAAUACGGAGGGUGCGAGCGUUAAUUGGAAUUACGGGGCGUAAAGCGCUCGUAGGCGGUAUGUCAAGUCAAGGGUGAAAUCCCCGCGCUCAACGUGGGAACUGCCUUUGAAAAUGGCAAACUGGAGUGUGUGAGAGGAAAGUGGAAAUCCAGGUGUAGGAGUGAAAUCCGUAGAUAUCUUGAGGAAAA
RNAcentral lists this ribosomal RNA (378 nucleotides) under uncultured bacterium. RNAcentral's name for it is "partial 16S ribosomal RNA". It matches the Rfam family "Bacterial small subunit ribosomal RNA", at positions 338 to 708 of the family's 1533-position model. The record is from RNAcentral.